Molecule: transfer RNA, 72 nt
Rfam family: tRNA
About the family: Transfer RNA (tRNA) molecules are approximately 80 nucleotides in length. Their secondary structure includes four short double-helical elements and three loops (D, anti-codon, and T loops). Further hydrogen bonds mediate the characteristic L-shaped molecular structure. tRNAs have two regions of fundamental functional importance: the anti-codon, which is responsible for specific mRNA codon recognition, and the 3' end, to which the tRNAs corresponding amino acid is attached (by aminoacyl-tRNA synthetases). tRNAs cope with the degeneracy of the genetic code in two manners: having more than one tRNA (with a specific anti-codon) for a particular amino acid; and 'wobble' base-pairing, i.e. permitting non-standard base-pairing at the 3rd anti-codon position.
GGGCCGGUAGAUCAAUGGUAGAUCGCCGCCCUUGCAAGGCGGAGGCUCCGGGUUCAAAUCCCGGCCGGUCCA